RNAcentral lists this ribosomal RNA (1376 nucleotides) under uncultured Pelagibacterales bacterium. RNAcentral describes it as "bacterial SSU rRNA". It matches the Rfam family "Bacterial small subunit ribosomal RNA". The record is from RNAcentral. Lineage: Bacteria; Pseudomonadati; Pseudomonadota; Alphaproteobacteria; Candidatus Pelagibacterales.
UAACACAUGCAAGUCGAACGAAGUAGCAAUACUUAGUGGCGAACGGGUGAGUAUAGUGUGGGUAUCUGCCCAUUGGUUUGGAAUAACACGGGGAAACUUGUGCUAAUACCGGAUAAGCCUUCACAGGGGGAGCUUUAGCGCCGAUGGAUGAGCCCGCACUUGAUUAGCUAGUUGGUAAGGUAAUGGCUUACCAAGGCUACGAUCAAUAGCUGAUCUGAGAGGAUGAUCAGCCACAUUGGGACUGAGACACGGCCCAAACUCCUACGGGAGGCAGCAGUGGGGAAUCUUGCACAAUGGGGGAAACCCUGAUGCAGCGAUGCCGCGUGAGUGAAGAAGGCCUUUGGGUUGUAAAGCUCUUUCGUCGGGGAAGAAAAUGACUGUACCCGAAUAAGAAGGUCCGGCUAACUUCGUGCCAGCAGCCGCGGUAAUACGAAGGGACCUAGCGUAGUUCGGAAUUACUGGGCUUAAAGAGCUCGUAGGUGGUUAGAAAAGUUAGUGGUGAAAUCCCAAGGCUUAACCUUGGAACUGCCACUAAAACUUUUUAACUAGAGUAUGAUAGAGGUAAGCGGAAUUUCUAGUGUAGAGGUGAAAUUCGUAGAUAAUAGAAAGAACACCAAUUGCGAAGGCAGCUUUCUGGAUCAUUACUGACACUGAGGAGCGAAAGCAUGGGUAGCGAAGAGGAUUAGAUACCCUCGUAGUCCAUGCCGUAAACGAUGUGUGCUAGACGUUGGAAAUUUAUUUUUCAGUGUCGCAGCAAAAGCGUUAAGCACACCGCCUAGGGAGUACGACCGCAAGGUUAAAACUCAAAUGAAUUGACGGGGACCCGCACAAGUAGUGGAGCAUGUGGUUUAAUUCGAAGAUACGCGCAGAACCUUACCAACACUUGACAUGUUCGUCGCGACUCUAAGAAAUUAGAGUUUUCGGUUCGGCCGGACGAAACACAGGUGCUGCAUGGCUGUCGUCAGCUCGUGUCGUGAGAUGUUGGGUUAAGUCCCGCAACGAGCGCAACCCUUACUUUUAGUUGCUACCAUUUAGUUGGGCACUCUAAAAGAACUGCCAGUGAUAAGCUGGAGGAAGGUGGGGAUGACGUCAAGUCCUCAUGGCCCUUACGUGUUGGGCUACACACGUGCUACAAUGGUACUCACAAUGGGAAGCAAAGAGGCGACUCUAAGCAAAUCCCAAAAAGGUACCUCAGUUCGGAUUGUACUCUGCAACUCGAGUACAUGACGCUGGAAUUACUAGUAAUCGUGGAUCAGCGCGCCACGGUGAAUACGUUCCCGGGUCUUGUACACACCGCCCGUCACACCAUGGAAGUUGGUUACACCUUAAGGCAAAGCAUAAAACCUUUGACUACGGUACGAUCAGCGACUGGGGUG